Molecule: long non-coding RNA, 850 nt
Organism: Hemicordylus capensis (graceful crag lizard)
Lineage: Eukaryota; Metazoa; Chordata; Lepidosauria; Squamata; Cordylidae
Exons: 3
Source: RefSeq, a predicted model, not a curated record
CAGCAGGACCUUCUGGUUCACACCUGCUGAUGCGUGCUCUCCCAGCUCCCACCCACCCAUCUCCUGCUGCUGCCUGAUAAAAGUCUAAAGCAACUGGCGUGGAAAUGACCAAUCAGCCAUAACAAGUUCCAACAGCAAAACAUAUGUUCAGAGCCAUCAAGAAGUACCAAUGGAGUAAACACUGGAGUAUGGAGUAAACACUGGCAAAAUAUUCCAGAAUUUUGAGAAAUCAUGCAGAAAGGCCUGCCUGCCUCUCAUUAAAGCCGUAACUCAAUUGAAAGACGUUUUUCUCCUUCUAAGCCACAGCAUAGUAAUGAAUUUCCUCACUGCUCCCAUCAAUCUCACUAUCUCUUUGUUGUUCUUUAAAAAGUAAAGAGAGACUAUCUCCCUCAGCACGACAAAGUGGAUUUUAAUCAAACAUUUCUGUCAUUGGGAUUGUGCAUGCUUCCAGUGAGGAGGGACUGAUAGAGCUGAUACUUUAACAGCCCCAGGAGAUGCUCACCACCUUCAGCUAGCAAGCAAGCAAGCAACUGAGGAGGGGGUUAGCUUCUUCUGGAGAGAAAGCUCAGACUCUUGAGGAGGAAGUUCAGGUUCUAUAUACAGUGCAUAUAUGUCUUUCUGUUUUCAUAGUUUGUCUCAAACCAAUUACUACUGAAAGAGCCACACAGUUUCUAUUUCCAAGUACUGGUUUUUCAAAUCCUAAAGCUACACGUAUUGAUAGCAGUAUUCUGGAACAGCUGGUUUUUUAAAAAAAUGUGAAGGACAAAAAAAUAUCGCAAGCACCUUGUGCAAGCCUGCACCUCAUCUUGCGUUUGUCUUGGUUGGUGCUCUUCUUCAGAAUGUAAGUGUA